This 86-nucleotide transfer RNA is filed under the name bacterium (Candidatus Torokbacteria) CG_4_10_14_0_2_um_filter_35_8. RNAcentral's name for it is "tRNA-Leu". It matches the Rfam family "tRNA". Rfam says of the family: Transfer RNA (tRNA) molecules are approximately 80 nucleotides in length. The record is from RNAcentral.
GCCGGGGUGGCGGAACUGGCAGACGCGAGAGACUUAAAAUCUCUUGAAGGCAACACUUCUUGUGGGUUCGACUCCCACCCUCGGCA